GGCGCUAUAGCCAAGUGGUAAGGCACAGGUCUGCAACACCUAGAUCUCCAGUUCGAAUCUGGAUGGCGCCUCCA
RNAcentral lists this transfer RNA (74 nucleotides) under Bacillota bacterium. Its description in RNAcentral is "tRNA-Cys". It matches the Rfam family "tRNA". From Rfam's summary of the family: Transfer RNA (tRNA) molecules are approximately 80 nucleotides in length. Their secondary structure includes four short double-helical elements and three loops (D, anti-codon, and T loops). The record is from RNAcentral. RNAcentral also lists the same sequence under 1 other name. Lineage: Bacteria; Bacillati; Bacillota.